This 275-nucleotide long non-coding RNA is filed under the name Vigna radiata. RNAcentral describes it as "long non-coding RNA (VRAD_LNC013494)". The record is from RNAcentral. Lineage: Eukaryota; Viridiplantae; Streptophyta; Magnoliopsida; Fabales; Fabaceae.
UGGAGAAGGCAUACAAGAAUUCGGAAAUGGUUGAUAUUGUUGUGGAGCAUCAUACCAUCCCAAGCUAGGGUCAGUCCACCCAGGAUCGUUGCUAUGAUCAUACCGCACAGGGGAGAAUUUGUCAAGAAACUGAUGCUCAAGAUCUUCCCAACAGGUGACGGAUCCAGGAGUAAUACAACAACACCAAUCCCUUGCCGCUCCAUGUAAUGAGUACUCAAAUGCCCUUAAGAACAUGUCCUCAUCCGGGACAUCUGGAGGUUUCAUUGAAGAGCAUA